CCUACGGGAGGCAGCAGUGGGGAAUAUUGGACAAUGGGCGCAAGCCUGAUCCAGCCAUGCCGCGUGUGUGAAGAAGGCCUUUUGGUUGUAAAGCACUUUAAGGGAGGUGGAGGCUACUUGGAUUAAUACUCUAGGAUAGUGGACGUUACUCGCAGAAUAAGCACCGGCUAACUCUGUGCCAGCAGCCGCGGUAAUACAGAGGGU
This 204-nucleotide ribosomal RNA is filed under the name uncultured bacterium. RNAcentral describes it as "partial 16S ribosomal RNA". It matches the Rfam family "Bacterial small subunit ribosomal RNA", at positions 338 to 533 of the family's 1533-position model. The record is from RNAcentral.